RNAcentral lists this ribosomal RNA (346 nucleotides) under uncultured bacterium. RNAcentral describes it as "partial 16S ribosomal RNA". It matches the Rfam family "Bacterial small subunit ribosomal RNA", at positions 338 to 681 of the family's 1533-position model. The record is from RNAcentral.
CCUACGGGUGGCAGCAGUGAGGAAUAUUGGUCAAUGGGCGCGAGCCUGAACCAGCCAAGUAGCGUGAAGGAUGACUGCCCUACGGGUUGUAAACUUCUUUUAUAAAGGAAUAAAGUGAGGCACGUGUGCCUUUUUGUAUGUACGUUAUGAAUAAGGAUCGGCUAACGCCUUGCCAGCAGCCGCGGUAAUACGGAGGAUCCGAGCGUUAUCCGGAUUGAUUGGGUUUACAGGGAGCGUAGAUGGGUUGUUAAGUCCGUUGUGAAAGUUUGCGGCUCAACCGUAAAAUUGCAAUGGAUACUGGCAGUCUUGCGUACAGUUGAGGUAGGCGGAAUUCGUGGUGUCGCGG